CCGGCCAUUAAGGCUUUAUAAAUAAUAAAAAAAUUAAAAACUAAAAGCAUGCAUCUAAAAGACUAAAUUGAAUAUUUUGUCUUACCCUUUUGCUCCAAUGAAAAUCAAUCAAGGGGAAUAGAGCUUAAGAACGGAACUUGUAUACAUGGAUACAACUACUGAACCGAUCGACAAAUGAAAGCAAAGCAAGCACUAAAGAAAAUGGGGGAUACAACCGCAGGAAAGGCUUAGUGGGAUACAUGAUAGACUAUGGCAUCGUCAAAUACACUAAUCUCUUUGUUGGGACGAUAAUUAGCACUGUACCAUAACAUUUGUGACCUGCGGCAUUGCCAUUAUUAGACACUUUGUCAGAUGAAAGAUAUACCAAAAGUCCAUAACAAACCUUGUGGCUGUUAAAUGGCCACUUCAGUGUUUGUGGCCUCUUGAAAUUAUUUUCUCGUUUUGCAAUGACAAAAUGAUAAAGUUUGUGUCUAUCACUUCCUCUCUU
Molecule: long non-coding RNA, 487 nt
Filed under: Glycine max (soybean)
Lineage: Eukaryota; Viridiplantae; Streptophyta; Magnoliopsida; Fabales; Fabaceae
Description: long non-coding RNA (GMAX_LNC001691)
Source: RNAcentral